RNAcentral lists this ribosomal RNA (460 nucleotides) under uncultured bacterium. RNAcentral describes it as "partial 16S ribosomal RNA". It matches the Rfam family "Bacterial small subunit ribosomal RNA", at positions 338 to 795 of the family's 1533-position model. The record is from RNAcentral.
CCUACGGGGGGCAGCAGUGAGGAAUAUUGGUCAAUGGGCGAGAGCCUGAACCAGCCAAGUCGCGUGAAGGAUGACGGCCCUACGGGUUGUAAACUUCUUUUGUCAGGGAGCAAUUGGGUCCACGCGUGGGCUUAGCGAGAGUACCUGAAGAAAAAGCAUCGGCUAACUCCGUGCCAGCAGCCGCGGUAAUACGGAGGAUGCGAGCGUUAUCCGGAUUUAUUGGGUUUAAAGGGUGCGUAGGCGGGCAUUUAAGCCGGCGGUCAAAUGUCGGGGCUCAACCCCGGCCUGCCGUCGGAACUGGGUGCCUUGAGUGGGCGAGAAGUAUGCGGAAUGCGUGGUGUAGCGGUGAAAUGCAUAGAUAUCACGCAGAACCCCGAUUGCGAAGGCAGCAUACCGGCGCCCUACUGACGCUGAGGCACGAAAGUGCGGGUAUCGAACAGGAUUAGAUACCCUAGUAGUC